This 774-nucleotide ribosomal RNA is filed under the name uncultured Neocallimastigales. Its description in RNAcentral is "partial large subunit ribosomal RNA". It matches the Rfam family "Eukaryotic large subunit ribosomal RNA", at positions 24 to 616 of the family's 3401-position model. Lineage: Eukaryota; Fungi; Neocallimastigomycota; Neocallimastigomycetes; Neocallimastigales. The record is from RNAcentral.
UACGACUACAUAUCAGGCAUAUCAAUAAGCGGAGGAAAAGAAACUAACAAGGAUUCCCUUAGUAACGGCGAGUGAAGCGGGAAGAGCUCAAAUUUGAAAUCUUCAAGGUUUUACCUUGACGAAUUGUAGUUUAAAGAAGUGUUUUCUGUUGAAGUUUUGGUAAAAGUUCUUUGGAAUAGGACAUCAUAGAGGGUGAGAAUCCCGUAUUUGACCAUUAUUUUCAGCUGUGUGAUACACUUUCAAAGAGUCGGAUUGUUUGGGAAUGCAGUCCAAAAUGGGUGGUAAAUUUCAUCUAAAGCUAAAUAUUGGCGAGAGACCGAUAGCGAACAAGUACCGUGAGGGAAAGAUGAAAAGAACUUUGAAAAGAGAGUUAAACAGUACGUGAAAUUGUCAAAAGGGAAGCGUUUGACACCAGUGUUGUUUUCUCGAAAAUCAAUUAAAAAAAGUUGGAUUUUGUGUUGUAUUGACCUUAACAGCUUGCUUCACUCUUUUCCAGCUUUUUUUAAUGCACUUUUCGUUUAACAAGUCAACAUCAGUUUCUUUUGUUGUAAAAGGGUCAUUGGAAGGUGGCUUUCUCUUCGGAGAAAGUGUUUAUAGCCUUUGAUCUCUGCAAUCGGAGAGACUGAGGUCUGCAGCGUAGAUCCUUCGGGGUUAGAUACAUUGGUGCUAAGCUACAGCUUGUCAUAGACAACUUGUUGACUAUGUUAGUCAUUGUAGCUUACUCGCUGAUGCUAUUUUACCUACGCUUAGGAUGUUGAGCGCAUGUCUCUCUCU